This is a long non-coding RNA of Gadus morhua (Atlantic cod), 593 nucleotides long. RefSeq lists it as uncharacterized. NCBI's taxonomy places the organism in Eukaryota, Metazoa, Chordata, Actinopteri, Gadiformes, Gadidae. The transcript has 2 exons. The record is from RefSeq and is a predicted model, not a curated record.
GAGGAGGAGGAGGAGGAGGAGGAGGAGGAGGAGGAGGAGGAGGAGGAGGAAAUGGUUGAGAAAAGUGGAAUGACCCUUUCGCUGAUAACACUUUUUUUUUUUACUCAAAAAGGAGUGAUGAUAGAGUGUUCCACGGGUUGUGCAGAAACAACCUCUUCCUCUCUACACCCAAAAACAAAACAAAAAAGGUCCAUUCCAAAUCUGAUAACCAGAACAGCCUGGUGGGAAACAACGACAGACUUAUUACUGGACUUGGAGAGGAUAACCAAAAGGAUGGAAGAAAACUAAUGAUAAAAACACAUGAAACAUUGAGGAAGGGAACAUGUACAUGUUCCCUUCCUCAAUGUUUCAUGUGUUUUAUCAUUUGUUUGGGAACAUUACACCCAACCAGUAAACCAGUAAGAAACGUUCAAUAUUGGGGGCAAAUUGGCCUCCGGGAAGAAAGAGAUUUUAUACAUUCUGAACAUUCCUCUGAUGCCCGUGUUUUUGGACUGCGGCUAAGCGAUGGCUCUGAGCAUACAAAAAUGGCCGGUUCCUGCCAAAUGACUACUCUUGGACAUGUGAUAAAAAGAGAAAAACAAUUGUGACAUACA